This 484-nucleotide ribosomal RNA is filed under the name uncultured bacterium. RNAcentral describes it as "partial 16S ribosomal RNA". It matches the Rfam family "Bacterial small subunit ribosomal RNA", at positions 30 to 507 of the family's 1533-position model. The record is from RNAcentral.
AUUGAACGCUGGCGGCAGGCCUAACACAUGCAAGUCGAGCGGAUGAAGGGAGCUUGCUCCUGGAUUCAGCGGCGGACGGGUGAGUAAUGCCUAGGAAUCUGCCUGGUAGUGGGGGAUAACGUCCGGAAACGGGCGCUAAUACCGCAUACGUCCUGAGGGAGAAAGUGGGGGAUCUUCGGACCUCACGCUAUCAGAUGAGCCUAGGUCGGAUUAGCUAGUUGGUGGGGUAAAGGCCUACCAAGGCGACGAUCCGUAACUGGUCUGAGAGGAUGAUCAGUCACACUGGAACUGAGACACGGUCCAGACUCCUACGGGAGGCAGCAGUGGGGAAUAUUGGACAGUGGGCGAAAGCCUGAUCCAGCCAUGCCGCGUGUGUGAAGAAGGUCUUCGGAUUGUAAAGCACUUUAAGGUGGGAGGAAGGGCAGUAAGUUAAUACCUUGCUGUUUUGACGUUACCAACAGAAUAAGCACCGGCUAACUUCGUG